GAUGAACGCUGGCGGCGUGCUUAACACAUGCAAGUCGAACGGAAAGGCCAGUGCUUGCACUGGUACUCGAGUGGCGAACGGGUGAGUAACACGUGGGUGAUCUGCCCUGUACUUCGGGAUAAGCUUGGGAAACUGGGUCUAAUACCGGAUAGGACAACUUUUUGGAUAUUGUUGUGGAAAGCUUUUGCGGUAUGGGAUGAGCUCGCGGCCUAUCAGCUUGUUGGUGGGGUAAUGGCCUACCAAGGCGUCGCCGGGUAGCCGGCCUGAGAGGGUGUACGGCCACUUUGGGACUGAGAUACGGGCCAGACUCCUACGGGGGGCAGCAGUGGGGAAUAUUGAACAAUGGGCGCAAGCCUGAUGCAGCGACGCCGCGUGGGGGAUGAAGGCCUUCGGGUUGUAAACUCCUUUCGCUAGGGAAGAAGCUUUUUUGUGACGGUACCUGGAGAAGAAGCACCGGCUAACUACGUG
RNAcentral lists this ribosomal RNA (468 nucleotides) under uncultured bacterium. RNAcentral's name for it is "partial 16S ribosomal RNA". It matches the Rfam family "Bacterial small subunit ribosomal RNA", at positions 28 to 507 of the family's 1533-position model. The record is from RNAcentral.